GAGAGCUCGGGGAGUAUGUUUGAGUUAAGCGGGGUUCUUAAUUGUGGGUAUACCGGCUAAAGAUCUGCAUCAUGCACUUCAUUCCUAAUCAGACUUUCGCAGGCUUCUCAAACCCACAUGUCCCGGUUAACUAGCAUGCAACAGUAUAUAUGAAAAUUUGAUAAGCUCUAUAAUUAUGUCCUGCAGAGUUCAGUAAUAAUUCGAUCACGUUUAAGCUCGUAAAAAAAAACAACUACAGAUGUCAAACUUCUACUAGUUUAACUCGAUAUCAAUGACAAUGGACUGAGAAAGGGAAUUGAACCGGAUUAAUUAAUUAAAGCGAAGGGAUAUACAGUUGUGUCAAUAAUUUGGCCAUCAUGGAAAUGAGAGACAAAGACAAGUAAGUAAAUAUUGAAC
Paramuricea clavata is the source of this 396-nucleotide non-coding RNA. The record is from the annotation of a GenBank genome assembly. Lineage: Eukaryota; Metazoa; Cnidaria; Anthozoa; Malacalcyonacea; Plexauridae.